Long non-coding RNA from Esox lucius (northern pike), 618 nucleotides. RefSeq lists it as uncharacterized. The transcript has 3 exons. The record is from RefSeq and is a predicted model, not a curated record. Lineage: Eukaryota; Metazoa; Chordata; Actinopteri; Esociformes; Esocidae.
UGGAUUAGCAAGUGGAUUCUUAGACCCUUCUCGUACCUUCAAAGGGGCAAUGUUCUAACGCAACAAACAACGCAGGGUGUUCUUUGGGGAUGGCUGUGUGGACUUACUGUACUGCAUGGGCCGCAUAGGCAGUGAAGAUGCAUGGGCAAGCGGAGACAUCUCAUUUACAGAGUGAAAGACACCCAAGAGCCUGCUCAGUUGAUUCCAUGCGAGUGUGCCGGCUGGGGAGGCCCGGGGUUGAUGAAGAGCCCGCCUGCGACCCGAGAAACACCCAAACUAACUAUGUACUGCAUGGAGACUCUGGUCAGAAGUAGGGCACACUCUGGGGAAUAGAAACAACAGCUGAGAAGGAGCAGCAGGAAACUGCAUGAUUGAUUUUAAGAUAGAGCAUUUAUGAUAGUGUAUGAGAUAGAGCAUAUAUGAUAGUGUAUGAGACAGAGCAUAUAUGAUAAGUGUAUGAGACAGAGCAUGUGAUAGUGUAUAAGAUAGAGUGUGGCAGUUUCGCCUCUCUGUGGGAUAAUUCAAGGUAAGAAAAUGCUCCUGUGCCACUGUGAUCAAAUGUGAAGAAUGAAUGAGCGAGGUGUCAUGUUUCCAGUGUAUGAAGAUUUGUCUACUCUG